This is a long non-coding RNA of Nerophis ophidion (straightnose pipefish), 1402 nucleotides long. RefSeq lists it as uncharacterized. Lineage: Eukaryota; Metazoa; Chordata; Actinopteri; Syngnathiformes; Syngnathidae. The transcript is spliced from 3 exons. The record is from RefSeq and is a predicted model, not a curated record.
AGCAGGACCAAUAAGCAUCCAGCAGCUUUAUUUCGGCAGCCUCACUGCGCAUGGCUACAGUCGCACAGGAAAACAUAACGGCGAUAAUUACAAAAGAAGCUUGCGUUGGGAUCGGGAAUGAAACAUGGGACUCGGGAAGCGGCGCAAUUAGUAAACAAUCCCGACAGGAGCCAAUGGGAGAGCGAGAUCAUCGGCCUGACUUCCGGAGUGGGCUGAAAACUUAGCUGCGAGGCCACGCCCACCAUUGACUUUGCUUGGAGGGGAGCCUGAAAGAGGAGGUCACACAGAUGCAACAUAUGAAGAGCAACAUGUCCAUCCAUCCAUCCAUUUUCUACCGCUUAUUCCCCUUUGGGGUCCCAGGGGGCGCUGGUGCCUAUCUCAGCUACAAUCGGGGGAAAGGCGGGGUACACCCUGGACAAGUCGCCACCUCAUCGCAGAAGAGCAACAUGUAUGUUUUUUUUUUUUUUGACAACUUUAUUUUGUAUUCAUCCUUUGAACUCUACUGUUGAAUAUAUUUUAAAAUCUAUUUGUAUACAUACAUAGGCGCCGAUCUACAUUUCUGCCAAUGGGUGCUCGGUGUGUGUAUUAAAAAAAAAAAAAAAGGAUGUUCGUACCAAACUCACCACAAAAUAAACUAUAAUAAGAUUGGUUUUUCAAAAAUGAUUGCCAUCAUAGUUGCCAUCAUUGCCAGGUGGGUGCUCAGCACACUGCAAAAAGUAAGUGUUCAAAAAUAAGAAUAAAAAAUACAAAAAUUAAAGGUAUUUUAUUUGAGCUGAGCAAAAUUAUCUGCCAAUAGAAGAAAAAAAUUGGGCUUUUCAAGACUUUCCUAAACAAGUAAAAUUAGCUAUCCUCAAUGAACCCAAAAUACCUUAAAAUAAGUAUUUUCUCACUUACAGCAACUGUACUGCUAUAUGAAUACGUAUGUUCUAUUUUUUCAUUAAUAAUAAAACAGCAAAGUCCAUUUGGCUGUCAUGUUUUUUUCAUGCUUGAAAUAAGAAAUUAUUACUUUAAAAAAAUAGUUUUAUACUUGUGACUGUUGAUGACACAGCGUUGCAACACUUGAUAUUCUAGUUUCAAGCAUGUUUUACUCAAUAUAGGUCAUAACAUCUCAGCAACUAGCUGUAAUAUCUCACUGAGACAAUUUAGGACCAAAACCCUUAAAACAAGUAAAACACUCUAACAUGAAAUCUGCUUAGUGAGAAGAAUUAUCUUAUCAUACAGAAUAUAAGCAAAUAUCACCCUUAUUUGAGAUAUUUAAUCUGACAUAGAUUUGAGUUUUUGCAGUGCACCAACGGGAUCCGCGCCUAUUUAUACAUACAUAUUUUCAAUUAUAUUUUGAAUAUGUAUUUCAAAUAUUGCUUCUGUAAACUUUUUGUUUGAAUAAACUGUCAGUUUAAAAUGA